This 1350-nucleotide long non-coding RNA is filed under the name Oryzias javanicus (javanese ricefish). RNAcentral describes it as "lncRNA (ENSOJAG00000010786.1)". The record is from RNAcentral. Lineage: Eukaryota; Metazoa; Chordata; Actinopteri; Beloniformes; Adrianichthyidae.
ACUGCUGAUUGAAUACUUAUUCAAAUGAUAACAUUAGGUCUAACUUCAAUAAGCACACCUUUUAAAAAUAUUGAAGGUUUCUAACAAUUUUUUUGUAAAAUAUGAAAUUCUUCCCAACAAAUAGAAUUGUAAAUCACUGAUUUGCAGCUGAACGUUGAAGAUUUUUGUAUUAUUUGUCCACAAAAGUUUCAUCCUUAAGUGAUACAAAAACGGACUUCUUCCAAGCAUUGAUGAAAGUGUUCCCACAGCCUGAUGCAACCUCCACCAUGCCCUCUAAAAGCCUGCAGACAGUUUGUCAAAAAUGUAGCUUCUUUACAAUUGUUUAAUUCAUAAAAUACAUUUCUUAUUUUAUUAACAAGAAACGUAGUAAAUAUGUGUUGACAUAAAUGUGUUUUGAACUCUCAGAUGUUUGCAACCAAACAUGAAUGUUUGAAGCUGGAACGGAUGCAGGUUUGAUUUUUAUCAUUUACAGUAAAGCGUGAAGCUCUUGUGCUGUUUGUAUCUCAGAGGAACAAAAGCUGGACGUCCCUCAGGCCUGAAGCUCAGGUCAGCUGAUCGACUGAAGCUGCUGACGCGGCAGUUUCCAGCAGUCUGUGUGUGUGUGCAUGUGUGGGUACAUGCGUGUGCGUGUAGCAGCUCGGUCAUGUGAACAGCGAGCUCUCAAAUUGGAUUGAGCUAAUUUCCUAAUGGUGUAAGGAUUGUCUGGAUCCCAGAGGAACUCCAUGAUGUCCACAGAUUAGAGUUAAUGAUGAUCAGUAAACUGUCCUGAUGCCAUUCUUCUGAAACAAACAGAGCUGAAGUUCCAUGUUUGUUCAGCUCAACUCUUCCUCGCUCCUCCACCUUCUUUUCCGCUCCGGAGGUUCUUUCUUACCGGAAUAUUCCCUCUGGCUGGCUCCAGAACCCAUCGAGCUGCCGUCAGCUGCUGCAGAACUCUGUCAUGUCCGCAGAUAUGAAGCUGACGUCCGUCUGCGUCUCCGUCCCAUCUCUGUCCCGCUGGCUGUCCGACUGAGGGACGGUAAUCCGGGGAAGUUGCUUAUGGCAACAGUACAGGAUCCUGGAACUUUGUUCCACCUUCCAACAGCGUGCAGACGCUUCUUCACCUCCUUCACUUUCUGCUGUUCUGAGCCUGAACUCCUCCUCCUCCUCCUCACUGCUCCUCAUCUGAUCUCCUCCUCCUCCUCCUCACUCCUCCUCUUCACUGCUCCUCAUCUGAUCUCCUCCUCCUCCUUUUCAGAGCAGAGCUCCACCCCUCCAGAUGUUCCUCCCUCCCCUCGCCGUCUUUGGAGCAAAUUAAUCAAAAUAAGUUCAACUAAAAUGAAUAGAAUAGAAUAUUUUGAAGGAAAAGGAUAA